AGAAUCAACGCUGGCGGCGUGCCUAACACAUGCAAGUCGAGCGCGAAUAGGGGGGCAACCCCCUUAGUAGAGCGGCGAACGGGUGAGUAACGCGUGGGUAACCUGCCCUCGAGUGGGGAAUAACCCCGGGAAACUGGGGCUAAUACCGCAUGACAUCCCUGACUCCAUGAGCCGGGGAUCAAAGCUGGGGAUCGAAAGACCUGGCGCUUGAGGAGGGGCCCGCGUCCGAUUAGCUAGUUGGCGGGUAACGCCCACCAAGGCGACGAUCGGUA
This 272-nucleotide ribosomal RNA is filed under the name uncultured soil bacterium. RNAcentral describes it as "partial 16S ribosomal RNA". It matches the Rfam family "Bacterial small subunit ribosomal RNA", at positions 26 to 285 of the family's 1533-position model. The record is from RNAcentral.